CCGUUUCUGUUUUCUAGUGAUUUAAAUUUUUGUUAUAUGAAAUAGAAAAUGAAAAUCAAAAAUUUUUUUGAAUUUCGCUCAUCCCUUUCUGACCAUGAAAAAGAAAAACGCCUUGUAUUUCAAUUUUAAUUUUUGUAUUUUAAAACAUUCGUUUUCUGUUUUUUAAUACCCGUUUCUGAAAGGAAAAUCCAAUGACCAAAACAUACACGGACCAUACACGGACCCAGUUUACUCCUCUGUUGAGAUGCUUCUUUCCCUCACCUGUCUUGUCACCACUCUUUUCUCUUCUAAAUCUAAUUCACUUCUCAAAUAACUGACUCUUCUGUACUCUUACAUUCAGCACAAGAUCAUAUGCCUCAUGCAGCCUUUAUUCCAACACAGUGUUUCUCAAUCUCCUCUAACCAUCUGUCUUUGUCAUAUGCAACAUACACUCUCCACAUUAUUGCUCCUCUACCCAUCUGCCUACCACACUGUUUUAUCUUUCAUUCUUUUUUCCUUUGUUCAGUGUGAGUAUAUUCUGAGUAGACUUUUAAAGAAUAUAUCACAUAGCAAACAUGACUUCAAGGUUGCAGUGAUCACUCCAGAUAAGGGCUGAAUGAUAUAAUGAAUUUUAAUAGAUAUUGCAAUGUUUUACCAACUGCUUCACUAAAUUUUGUUUCAUUUUUUCAGUGUAGUCAAAUCUAUUAUAAUAUUAAAAGUUAAAGGGCCAAAAUGUGCAAUGAGGAGAGUGACUGCUGAAUCUUGUCACUGUUUAAAUACAUUUUCUCCUUAACAGAGUGGAAUUCCAAUAGAGAAAACCAGAGAAGUUGUCAUCCGAUGUCUCAUUGAUCACCUCGGCGAGGAUGUGGGUGCCUUAAUCAAAGAGUUUGAGAAUCUUGAUGAUACAGCCGUCAAUGUGGAAGAAGAGCUGGCAGCAGAGACGAUGGCUCUGUGCCUUGUGCAUAAUGAAGAUGGACAAGUCAGGGAUGUACAGUCCCUGACAAAAGUCUUGUCACUUAUCCAUUUUGUAGAAACAGCAGCUUAUAACCUGACUUUUAAUUAAUCCAUUGGUUUUAGAAAUGGCUCAUAUGAAAGCUAAAACCCUCCCAAAUUAUGUUUAAUAUACUAAAAUGAAUUUGCUUCACUGAAGAAAGAUUGAUCAUUUAAUGAACACAGAAAGGUCAGAUUUUGGCAAGACAAAAGUUUUGUCGCCUACAGAGAGUAAUGUGAAAAUUGAACAAAUAAUUUACUUCAAA
Long non-coding RNA from Dicentrarchus labrax (European seabass), 1235 nucleotides. RefSeq lists it as uncharacterized. The transcript is spliced from 2 exons. Lineage: Eukaryota; Metazoa; Chordata; Actinopteri; Moronidae. The record is from RefSeq and is a predicted model, not a curated record.